Molecule: ribosomal RNA, 212 nt
Filed under: uncultured bacterium
Lineage: Bacteria
Description: partial 16S ribosomal RNA
Rfam family: Bacterial small subunit ribosomal RNA
Source: RNAcentral
CAGUUCGGAUUGCAGUCUGCAACUCGAGUGCAUGAAGCUGGAAUCGCUAGUAAUCGCGAAUCAGAAUGUCGCGGUGAAUACGUUCCCGGGUCUUGUACACACCGCCCGUCACACCAUGGGAGCCGACAACGCCCGAAGUCAGUGACCUAACCGAGAGGGAGGAGCUGCCGAAGGCGGGGUUGGUAACUGGGGUGAAGUCGUAACAAGGUACC